AGUCUGAUGGACCAACGCCGCGCGAGUGAAGAAGGUUUUCGGAUCGUAAAGCUCUGUUGUUGGUGAAGAAGGAUAGAGGUAGUAACCUGGCCUUUUUUUGGCGGUUAAUCAACCAGAAAGGUCCCGGCUUAACUUACGUUGCC
This 143-nucleotide ribosomal RNA is filed under the name uncultured bacterium. RNAcentral describes it as "partial 16S ribosomal RNA". The record is from RNAcentral.